Molecule: ribosomal RNA, 1198 nt
Filed under: uncultured organism
Description: SSU rRNA
Rfam family: Bacterial small subunit ribosomal RNA
Source: RNAcentral
ANAAGCCCACGGCUCGGCAUCGAGCAGGGGGAAAAGGAGUAAUCCGCUUUGAGAUGGCCUCGCGUCCGAUUAGCUAGUUGGUGAGGUAAUGGCCCACCAAGGCAACGAUCGGUAGCCGGACUGAGAGGUUGAACGGCCACAUUGGGACUGAGACACGGCCCAGACUCCUACGGGAGGCAGCAGUGGGGAAUAUUGCACAAUGGGGGAAACCCUGAUGCAGCGACGCCGCGUGGAGGAAGAAGGUCUUCGGAUUGUAAACUCCUGUUGUUGGGGAAGAUAAUGACGGUACCCAACAAGGAAGUGACGGCUAACUACGUGCCAGCAGCCGCGGUAAAACGUAGGUCACAAGCGUUGUCCGGAAUUACUGGGUGUAAAGGGAGCGCAGGCGGGAAGACAAGUUGGAAGUGAAAUCUAUGGGCUCAACCCAUAAACUGCUUUCAAAACUGUUUUUCUUGAGUAGUGCAGAGGUAGGCGGAAUUCCCGGUGUAGCGGUGGAAUGCGUAGAUAUCCGGGAGGAACACCAGUGGCGAAGGCGGCCUACUGGGCACCAACUGACGCUGAGGCUCGAAAGUGUGGGUAGCAAACAGGAUUAGAUACCCUGGUUAGUCCACACCGUAAACGAUUGAUUACUGGGUGUUGGAGGAUUGACCCCUUCAGUGCCGCAGUUAACACAAUAAGUAAUCCACCUGGGGAGUACGACCGCAAGGUUGAAACUCAAAGGAAUUGACGGGGGCCCGCACAAGCAGUGGAGUAUGUGGUUUAAUUCGACGCAACGCGAAGAACCUUACCAAGUCUUGACAUCCCUUGACAGACAUAGAAAUAUGUAAUCUCUUCGGAGCAAGGAGACAGGUGGUGCAUGGUUGUCGUCAGCUCGUGUCGUGAGAUGUUGGGUUAAGUCCCGCAACGAGCGCAACCCUUAUGGUCAGUUACUACGCAAGAGGACUCUGGCCAGACUGCCGUUGACAAAACGGAGGAAGGUGGGGAUGACGUCAAAUCAUCAUGCCCUUUAUGACUUGGGCUACACACGUACUACAAUGGCGUUAAACAAAGAGAAGCAAGACCGCGAGGUGGAGCAAAACUCAGAAACAACGUCCCAGUUCGGACUGCAGGCUGCAACUCGCCUGCACGAAGUCGGAAUUGCUAGUAAUCGUGGAUCAGCAUGCCCCGGUGUUUUCGUUCCCGGGCCUUGUUCUCCCCG